AACGGGAUUUAGUAAACAGAAGCUUCGGUGGAAGAUUACUAAUGAGAGUGGCGAACGGGUGAGUAACGCGUGAGCAACCUGCCUAUGACAGUGGGAUAGCCUCGGGAAACCGGGAUUAAUACCGCAUAAAAUCGUAGAAACACAUGUUUUAACGGUCAAAGAUUUAUCGGUCAUAGAUGGGCUCGCGUCUGAUUAGCUAGUUGGUGAGAUAACAGCCCACCAAGGCGACGAUCAGUAGCCGGUCUGAGAGGAUGAACGGCCACAUUGGAACUGAGACACGGUCCAAACUCCUACGGGAGGCAGCAGUGGGGAAUAUUGCACAAUGGGGGAAACCCUGAUGCAGCGACGCCGCGUGAACGAAGAAGGUAUUCGUAUCGUAAAGUUCUGUCCUAUGGGAAGAUAAUGACAGUACCAUAGAAGAAAGCUCCGGCUAAAUAC
This 438-nucleotide ribosomal RNA is filed under the name uncultured Finegoldia sp. RNAcentral's name for it is "bacterial SSU rRNA". It matches the Rfam family "Bacterial small subunit ribosomal RNA", at positions 65 to 504 of the family's 1533-position model. Lineage: Bacteria; Bacillati; Bacillota; Tissierellia; Tissierellales; Peptoniphilaceae. The record is from RNAcentral.